RNAcentral lists this non-coding RNA (21 nucleotides) under Caenorhabditis elegans. Lineage: Eukaryota; Metazoa; Nematoda; Chromadorea; Rhabditida; Rhabditidae. The record is from RNAcentral.
UAGGAAUUCGUCUGAACAAAA